GACGAACGCUGGCGGCGUGCUUAACACAUGCAAGUCGAACGAAGAGCGAUGGAAGCUUGCUUCUAUCAAUCUUAGUGGCGAACGGGUGAGUAACGCGUAAUCAACCUGCCCUUCAGAGGGGGACAACAGUUGGAAACGACUGCUAAUACCGCAUACGAUCUAAUCUCGGCAUCGGGGAAAGAUGAAAGGUGGCCUCUAUUUAUAAGCUAUCACUAAAGGAGGGGAUUGCGUCUGAUUAGCUAGUUGGAGGGGUAACGGCCCACCAAGGCGAUGAUCAGUAGCCGGUCUGAGAGGAUGAACGGCCACAUUGGGACUGAGACACGGCCCAGACUCCUACGGGAGGCAGCAGUGGGGAAUCUUCCGCAAUGGACGAAAGUCUGACGGAGCAACGCCGCGUGAGUGAUGACGGCCUUCGGGUUGUAAAGCUCUGUUAAUCGGGACGAAAGGCCUUCUUGCGAACAGUUAGAAGGAUUGACGGUACCGGAAUAGAAAGCCACGGCUAACUACGUG
RNAcentral lists this ribosomal RNA (510 nucleotides) under uncultured bacterium. Its description in RNAcentral is "partial 16S ribosomal RNA". It matches the Rfam family "Bacterial small subunit ribosomal RNA", at positions 28 to 507 of the family's 1533-position model. The record is from RNAcentral.